GCUUACGGCCAUACCACCCUGAACACGCCCGAUCUCGUCCGAUCUCGGAAGCUAAGCAGGGUCGGGCCUGGUUAGUACUUGGAUGGGAGACCGCCUGGGAAUACCAGGUGCUAUAAGCU
RNAcentral lists this ribosomal RNA (119 nucleotides) under Labrus bergylta (ballan wrasse). The record is from RNAcentral. Lineage: Eukaryota; Metazoa; Chordata; Actinopteri; Labriformes; Labridae.